RNAcentral lists this ribosomal RNA (600 nucleotides) under Hypsolebias trilineatus. Its description in RNAcentral is "partial 16S ribosomal RNA". It matches the Rfam family "Bacterial large subunit ribosomal RNA", at positions 1800 to 2618 of the family's 2925-position model. Lineage: Eukaryota; Metazoa; Chordata; Actinopteri; Cyprinodontiformes; Rivulidae. The record is from RNAcentral.
CUGUUUAUCAAAAACAUCGCCUCUUGAAUAAAUUAUAAGAGGUUCUGCCUGCCCAGUGACACAAGUUAAACGGCCGCGGUAUUUUAACCGUGCGAAGGUAGCGCAAUCACUCGUCUUUUAAAUGGGGACCCGUAUGAAUGGUGGUACGAAAACUCAACUGUCUCAUUCUUUUAACCAGUGAAAUUGAUUUCUCCGUGCAGAAGCGGGGAUAAACACAUAAGACAAAGAGACCCUGUGGAGCUUCAGAUAAAUCAGCUUAAGCUUUUGCAGAUUUCUAAUUUGCAUAUCUUAAAUCCUGCCUAUAUCUUAGAUUGGGGCGAUCAAGGAGUAAAACACACCCUCCAUGAAAAAUAUAUAUAUAUACAUAUAUUUUGAAUUAAGAGCGUCAGCUCAAAAUAUUAAAACAUUUAACUCUUGAACCGGCUUACCGAUUAACGGACCCAGUUACCCCAGGGAUAACAGCGCAAUCCUCUUAGAGAGCACCUAUCCUAAAGAGGGUUUACGACCUCGAUGUUGGAUCAGGGCAUCCUAAUGGCGCAUCUACUAUUAAGGGUUCGUUUGUUCAACGAUUAAAGUCCUACGUGAUCUGAGUUCAGACCG